This 561-nucleotide non-coding RNA is filed under the name Glycine max (soybean). RNAcentral's name for it is "Bacterial large subunit ribosomal RNA". It matches the Rfam family "Bacterial large subunit ribosomal RNA", at positions 2076 to 2644 of the family's 2925-position model. The record is from Rfam by way of RNAcentral. Lineage: Eukaryota; Viridiplantae; Streptophyta; Magnoliopsida; Fabales; Fabaceae.
CAAAAUUAAAAAUCCUAUGAAACUUCAUUAGUUUUUGGGAUUGAUUUUAGACUUUUUUUAGCAGGAAGGAAAAGAUGGCCUCCUUCAAGGAGAGGGAAGGGGGGCAUACUACCACUCCAGAAGCUAGAAUGUUCUAACCCUGUGACAAAACCUAUAGGUCGAGAGACAGUCUUAGGUAGAAGUUUCUAUGAGGUGUAGGUCUCGCCAAAGAUAAUAGAGACAUGUAAAAGGUUUCCUUGAGCCAAAUGGAGAUUGACUCUUGAGUGCAAAAGUAAAAGAGAGCUUGAUUGCAAGAUCCACCCAUUGAGUAGGGACGAAAGUCGGUCUUAUUGAUCCAAUGGUGUCAAGUGGAAGGAUCAUUGUUCAAUGGAUAAAAGUUAAUCUAUAGAUAAUAGGUUGAUCUUCCCUAAUAGCUCACAUCAAUGGGAAGGUUUGACACUUUGAUGUUCCACUAUUUGCCACUUGGGACUAUAGUAUGUUCCAAGGAUUUGGUUAUUGGCCCAUUAAAGUGAUAAGUGAAUUGGGUUCAUAACAUCAUAAAAAUAGUUUAAUCCAUAUUUG